UUUAAGUGCAACCAUAAGUUUCCAUGCCCAACGUUAACCGUCCGUGUUAUUUGAAAAAUAUUUAUAAUUAGUAUUUUUAUUGGUAUGAGAUGAUAAAACAUGAAUAGUACUUUAUAUGUGACUCAAAAAAAUUUCAAAUAAGACGGACGGUCAAAGUUGUGCACGGAAAAUCAUGGCUGCACAUAGA
Molecule: non-coding RNA, 187 nt
Organism: Oryza meridionalis
Lineage: Eukaryota; Viridiplantae; Streptophyta; Magnoliopsida; Poales; Poaceae
Source: Rfam